This 463-nucleotide ribosomal RNA is filed under the name Vreelandella stevensii. RNAcentral describes it as "partial 16S ribosomal RNA". It matches the Rfam family "Bacterial small subunit ribosomal RNA", at positions 338 to 794 of the family's 1533-position model. The record is from RNAcentral. Lineage: Bacteria; Pseudomonadati; Pseudomonadota; Gammaproteobacteria; Oceanospirillales; Halomonadaceae.
CCUACGGGAGGCAGCAGUGGGGAAUAUUGGACAAUGGGCGAAAGCCUGAUCCAGCCAUGCCGCGUGUGUGAAGAAGGCCUUCGGGUUGUAAAGCACUUUCAGUGGGGAAGAAAGCCUUGGGGCUAAUACCCUCGAGGAAGGACAUCACCCACAGAAGAAGCACCGGCUAACUCCGUGCCAGCAGCCGCGGUAAUACGGAGGGUGCGAGCGUUAAUCGGAAUUACUGGGCGUAAAGCGCGCGUAGGCGGUCUGAUAAGCCGGUUGUGAAAGCCCCGGGCUCAACCUGGGAACGGCAUCCGGAACUGUCAGGCUAGAGUGCAGGAGAGGAAGGUAGAAUUCCCGGUGUAGCGGUGAAAUGCGUAGAGAUCGGGAGGAAUACCAGUGGCGAAGGCGGCCUUCUGGACUGACACUGACGCUGAGGUGCGAAAGCGUGGGUAGCAAACAGGAUUAGAUACCCAGUAGU